Non-coding RNA from Homo sapiens (human), 117 nucleotides. It matches the Rfam family "Metazoan signal recognition particle RNA". Rfam says of the family: The signal recognition particle (SRP) is a universally conserved ribonucleoprotein. It is involved in the co-translational targeting of proteins to membranes. Lineage: Eukaryota; Metazoa; Chordata; Mammalia; Primates; Hominidae. The record is from Rfam.
GCCGGGCACGGUGGCUCAUGCCUGUAAUCCCAGCACUUUGGGAGGCUGAGGUGGGCGGAUCACCUGAGGUCAGGAGUUCGAGACCAGCCUGGCCAACAUGGUGAAACCCCAUCUCUA